UUGUGACCCACCAGCUCUCCCCCUUUCACGACCCUGGCCUACACAAUAGGCCUGUAAACGAAUCGAACGAACACGAACAUAUACAUGCUCGUGUUUGUUCAUUUAACCUUAAUCGAACAUGAACAUAUAAUCGAACGUUCACGAACAUAAAGGAACGGACAUAAACGAACUUCCCGCCAAACAUGUUCACGAACAGUUGAUGAACGUUCGGUUCGUUUACAGGCAUACUACACAACAAACCCCCUUCCCUUUCACCUUUCGUGUCCAAUUCUUGCCACAUUGAUAGGUGCGUUACCCUAUGACUCCAAGCCUAACGAUGUUCGCGUUCCGAUCAAUGAUAAUAUCUCACCAACAAAGUCCCGUAACACAUAACCUUAGACUGUGCAUUACAAAGGUAGAUGGGGGGUAUCAAUAGCCUCCACGUCACCAUCGCCAAGAUAGUUAUUCCAUUACAGGGGAGAUGGAUGUGGGAGUCAAUGGGAUUUCCGCCAUUGGAAUGGUGAGCGCCAAAGGCAAAGAAGUGGGGCCAUGGGCUGCUUCAACCAAUUAGUGCUAUAGUGAUGGCCAUGGGUAUUUAAGUUUCACCUAUGGUGG
RNAcentral lists this long non-coding RNA (594 nucleotides) under Helianthus annuus (common sunflower). RNAcentral describes it as "sRNA HanXRQr2_Chr11g0516371". Lineage: Eukaryota; Viridiplantae; Streptophyta; Magnoliopsida; Asterales; Asteraceae. The record is from RNAcentral.